Molecule: transfer RNA, 62 nt
Filed under: Ictidomys tridecemlineatus (thirteen-lined ground squirrel)
Lineage: Eukaryota; Metazoa; Chordata; Mammalia; Rodentia; Sciuridae
Description: Spermophilus tridecemlineatus (thirteen-lined ground squirrel) tRNA
Rfam family: tRNA
About the family: Transfer RNA (tRNA) molecules are approximately 80 nucleotides in length. Their secondary structure includes four short double-helical elements and three loops (D, anti-codon, and T loops).
Source: Rfam by way of RNAcentral
UGUAGCUCAGUUGGUAGAGUGCUUGCCUCGCAUGCACAAGGCCCUGGGUUUAAUCCCCAGCA